AGCGAACGUUAGCGGCGGGCUUAACACAUGCAAGUCGAGCGAGAAAAGGGGGCAACCCCUGAGUAAAGCGGCGGACGGGUGAGUAACACGUAGGUAAUCUUCCCUUGAGCGGGGGACAACGAUUCGAAAGGAUCGCUAAUACCGCAUAAGUUUCUUGGGACUCUGGUCCUGAGAAGGAAAGCUAGGCCGCAAGGUCCCGGCACUCGAGGAGGAGCCUGCGUAGCAUCAGCUAGUUGGUGGGGUAACGCCACCAAGGCGAAGACGCUUAGCUGGUCUGAGAGGAUGAUCAGCCACACUGAAACUGAGACACGGUUCAGACUCCUACGGGAGGCAGCAGUGGGGAAUAUUGGACAAGGGGGGUGCGCAAGCCUGAUCCAGCCACGCCGCGUGAGUGAUGAAGG
This 401-nucleotide ribosomal RNA is filed under the name uncultured bacterium. Its description in RNAcentral is "bacterial SSU rRNA". It matches the Rfam family "Bacterial small subunit ribosomal RNA", at positions 29 to 414 of the family's 1533-position model. The record is from RNAcentral.